RNAcentral lists this non-coding RNA (27 nucleotides) under Mus musculus (house mouse). Lineage: Eukaryota; Metazoa; Chordata; Mammalia; Rodentia; Muridae. The record is from RNAcentral.
UAGUGAUGUCAGGUUUCGACAAGUGUU